GUGAGGAAUAUUGGUCAAUGGGCGCAAGCCUGAACCAGCCAUCCCGCGUGCAGGAAGACGGCGCUAUGCGUUGUAAACUGCUUUUCCAGGGAGAGAAACUUGCGCACGUGUUGCGCAAUUGACGGUACCCUGGGAAUAAGCAUCGGCUAACUCCGUGCCAGCAGCCGCGGUAAUACGGAGGAUGCGAGCGUUAUCCGGAUUCAUUGGGUUUAAAGGGUGCGUAGGCGGACUAUUAAGUCAGUGGUGAAAUCCUGCAGCUUAACUGCAGAACUGCCAUUGAUACUGAUAGCCUUGAGUUUGGUUAAGGUAGGCGGAAUGUGUAAUGUAGCGAUGAAAUGCUUAGAUAUUACACAGAACACCAAUUGCGUAGGCAGCUUACUGAGCCGACACUGACGCUGAGGCACGAAAGCGUGGGGAUCGAACAGGAUUAGAAACCCCUGUAGUCC
Molecule: ribosomal RNA, 446 nt
Filed under: uncultured bacterium
Lineage: Bacteria
Description: partial 16S ribosomal RNA
Rfam family: Bacterial small subunit ribosomal RNA
Source: RNAcentral